Molecule: non-coding RNA, 830 nt
Organism: Pelobates cultripes (western spadefoot toad)
Lineage: Eukaryota; Metazoa; Chordata; Amphibia; Anura; Pelobatidae
Source: the annotation of a GenBank genome assembly
GCAACAAAUAAACCCCAAUAUUACUUUAUUUUGCAUGACAUGGUGAUCUAAAAGCUCCUUCUGCAUACAUUAAUAAAUCUGUUUAUUAUUAUUUUUGUAAUAACACAAUGGAGUUUAUUUACUAAACCUCUUACUGUAGUGAAUUAAAAGCUGAAAACUAUAGUCACGAGAUAGCUAGUUAUGACAAAAAUUCCGUUCACUACAAUUAGUUUCAGUAAAUAAAUACUAUAGAAUUGAUGUACAUAAAUUACCAUCUGAUUUUAAAUAUCUUCUAAUUUAUAAAUAAUAUGUGUAAGUAUGCAUUAUAUGUUAAAAUAGCCACUGUACAUUUAAAAUAUGAAUUUAAACAAUAAAAUGAUCUUUGCAGUACUUUUACCACAAUAAAAUGGAUACCGUUUUGGAUUGAUGGAGUUUAGAUGUUGCAACAGCGAUUAGCAUAAAUCUGAUUGCUUUGACCUAUAUAGUAAUGCUGCUAUAUGCACUGAUGCUAUGCUGAGAAAGAAUUUUAAUUGAACGAACAAAUUGUUGCAAAUUCUACAUGUAUAUUUUUGAAGUUUCCAGAAGGGAGACAGUUUAUAGUAACUUGUUGUAAGAUAUGUCAAAACUGGAAAAAAUAUUCUUUCACUUUUAUAUGAUAUUUACAAUGAUAUGUAUUACUAUCACUUAUCUUGUCAAAUGUAAUACCAGGUUUUAAUAUACUGUAUGUUAAAAUGGAUUACUUUAUAUCAUUACAUCAUGUAUUCCAAUUAUUGUCACAAAAACUUAACAAUUAUGGCUUCAGAUAACAUUCUAAAGCAAAGACAAUCUUACCUUGUUCACUUUUAGGUGCA